RNAcentral lists this ribosomal RNA (253 nucleotides) under uncultured bacterium. Its description in RNAcentral is "partial 16S ribosomal RNA". It matches the Rfam family "Bacterial small subunit ribosomal RNA", at positions 524 to 776 of the family's 1533-position model. The record is from RNAcentral.
UACGUAGGGUGCGAGCGUUAAUCGGAAUUACUGGGCGUAAAGCGUGCGCAGGCGGCGGCUCAAGUCAGAUGUGAAAUCCCUAGGCUUAACCUGGGAAUUGCAUUUGAAACUAGGUCGCUAGAGUUUGGCAGAGGGGGGUGGAAUUCCACGUGUAGCAGUGAAAUGCGUAGAGAUGUGGAGGAACACCAAUGGCGAAGGCAGCCCCCUGGGCUAAAACUGACGCUCAUGCACGAAAGCGUGGGGAGCAAACAGG